GAUGAACGCUGGCGGCGUGCCUAAUACAUGCAAGUCGAGCGAACAGACGAGGAGCUUGCUCCUUUGAUGUUAGCGGCGGACGGGUGAGUAACACGUAGGUAACCUACCUAUAAGACUGGGAUAACUUCGGGAAACCGGAGCUAAUACCGGAUAAUAUUUCGAACCGCAUGGUUCGAUAGUGAAAGAUGGCUUUGCUAUCACUUAUAGAUGGACCUGCGCCGUAUUAGCUAGUUGGUAAGGUAACGGCUUACCAAGGCAACGAUACGUAGCCGACCUGAGAGGGUGAUCGGCCACACUGGAACUGAGACCCGGUCCAGACUCCUACGGGAGGCCGCAGUAGGGAAUCUUCCGCAAUGGGCGAAAGCCUGACGGAGCAACGCCGCGUGAGUGAUGAAGGUCUUCGGAUCGUAAAACUCUGUUAUUAGGGAAGAACAAACGUGUAAGUAACUGUGCACGUCUUGACGGUACCUAAUCAGAAAGCCCCGGCUACCUACG
This 495-nucleotide ribosomal RNA is filed under the name uncultured bacterium. RNAcentral describes it as "partial 16S ribosomal RNA". It matches the Rfam family "Bacterial small subunit ribosomal RNA", at positions 28 to 505 of the family's 1533-position model. The record is from RNAcentral.